UACGGAGGGUGCAAGCGUUAUCCGGAUUCACUGGGUUUAAAGGGUGCGUAGGUGGGCAAGUAAGUCAGUGGUGAAAUCUCCGGGCUUAACCCGGAAACUGCCAUUGAUACUAUUUGUCUUGAAUACUGUGGAGGUCAGCGGAAUAUGUCAUGUAGCGGUGAAAUGCCUAGAUAUGACAUAGAACACCAAUUGCGAAGGCAGCUGGCUACACAAAUAUUGACACUGAGGCACGAAAGCGUGGGGAUCAAACAGG
This 253-nucleotide ribosomal RNA is filed under the name uncultured bacterium. Its description in RNAcentral is "partial 16S ribosomal RNA". It matches the Rfam family "Bacterial small subunit ribosomal RNA", at positions 524 to 776 of the family's 1533-position model. The record is from RNAcentral.